GUUUGAUUAGGUUUACAGCUAAUCUCUGCAGGAGUGGGACAGAUUUGAGGAUGCCCAAUAUACAUUAUAAAGAAAAUCAUCUCAGCAUCUGGAGCAGACGUGAUGAUUUCUAAUGAAACUCAAACUGAGAACGUCCUUCUCUGCUAUCCACUCCGGUUGGACUCCUGUCCAAAACUGCUUCGUCUUACUGUGGUUAAAGUGGCAAUCUUCAGUCUCCAACUCAUCUGAUCGUUCGCUCUCUGGCUGUUAGUGACUGUCUGCUGGGCUCUUUGGUCAUGCCGUACAGCAUGGUGCGAUCUGUUGAAGGCUGCUGGUAUCUGGGAGAUGUUGUAUGUAAAGUUCAUUCUAGUUUAGACAUGACCUUUUGUAUCUCCUCAAUACUGCAUCUCAGUUUAAUAUCUGUUGAC
Long non-coding RNA from Onychostoma macrolepis, 407 nucleotides. RefSeq lists it as uncharacterized. Lineage: Eukaryota; Metazoa; Chordata; Actinopteri; Cypriniformes; Cyprinidae. The transcript is spliced from 3 exons. The record is from RefSeq and is a predicted model, not a curated record.